CCUACGGGAGGCAGCAGUGAGGAAUAUUGGUCAAUGGGAGAGAUCCUGAACCAGCCAAGCCGCGUGAGGGAAGACGGCCCUAUGGGUUGUAAACCUCUUUUGUCGGAGAACAAAACCCGGGACGUGUCCCGGACUGCGUGUAUCCGAAGAAAAAGCAUCGGCUAAAUCCGUGCCAGCAGCCGCGGUAAUACGGAGGAUGCGAGCGUUAUCCGGAUUUAUUGGGUUUAAAGGGUGUGUAGGCGGUCCGUUAAGUCAGCGGUAAAAUGGCGGGGCUCAACCCCGUCGAGCCGUUGAAACUGGCAGACUUGAGUUGGCGAGAAGUACGCGGAAUGCGCGGUGUAGCGGUGAAAUGCAUAGAUAUCGCGCAGAACUCCGAUUGCGAAGGCAGCGUACCGGCGCCAGACUGACGCUGAGGCACGAAAGCGUGGGGAUCGAACAGGAUUAGAUACCCGGGUAGUC
RNAcentral lists this ribosomal RNA (459 nucleotides) under uncultured bacterium. RNAcentral describes it as "partial 16S ribosomal RNA". It matches the Rfam family "Bacterial small subunit ribosomal RNA", at positions 338 to 795 of the family's 1533-position model. The record is from RNAcentral.